RNAcentral lists this long non-coding RNA (618 nucleotides) under Brachypodium distachyon (stiff brome). RNAcentral's name for it is "long non-coding RNA (BDIS_LNC001891)". The record is from RNAcentral. Lineage: Eukaryota; Viridiplantae; Streptophyta; Magnoliopsida; Poales; Poaceae.
UCAUGGUAUGCAUUUCCGUGUAUUAGCUAAAGCAUUGCGUAUGUCUGGGGGAGAUCAUAUCCAUGCCGGUACAGUAGUAGGUAAGUUAGAAGGGGAACGCAAAAUCACUUUAGGUUUUGUUGAUUUAUUGCGCGACGAUUUUAUUGAAAAAGAUCGUGCUCGCGGUAUCUUUUUCACUCAGGACUGGGUAUCCAUGCCAGGUGUUAUACCAGUAGCUUCAGGUGGUAUUCAUGUUUGGCAUAUGCCAGCUCUGACCGAAAUCUUUGGGGAUGAUUCUGUAUUACAAUUUGGUGGAGGAACUUUAGGACAUCCUUGGGGAAAUGCACCUGGUGCAGCAACUAAUCGAGUGGCUUUAGAAGCCUGUGUACAAGCUCGUAACGAAGGGCGCGAUCUUGCUCGUGAAGGUAAUGAAAUUAUCCGAGCAGCUUGCAAAUGGAGUCCUGAACUAGCCGCAGCUUGUGAAGUAUGGAAGGCGAUCAAAUUCAAGUUCGAGCCGGUAGAUACUAUCGAUUAAUAGAUAAAACUAAAUAUGAAGAAGGUCUAAAUAAAAAGAAACAAAAUGAAAAGAGAAAAAAUAAGUUACGAAAUGCAGUAAUUCUUCUUUAUUCUUCUAAUUGA